GACGAACGCUGGCGGCGUGCCUAAUACAUGCAAGUCGAACGCACUCUCGUUUAGAUUGAAGGAGCUUGCUCCUGAUUGAUAAACAUUUGAGUGAGUGGCGGACGGGUGAGUAACACGUGGGUAACCUGCCCUAAAGUGGGGGAUAACAUUUGGAAACAGAUGCUAAUACCGCAUAAAACCUAAACACCGCAUGGUGUAGGGUUGAAAGAUGGUUUCGGCUAUCACUUUAGGAUGGACCCGCGGUGCAUUAGUUAGUUGGUGAGGUAAAGGCUCACCAAGACCGUGAUGCAUAGCCGACCUGAGAGGGUAAUCGGCCACACUGGGACUGAGACACGGCCCAGACUCCUACGGGAGGCAGCAGUAGGGAAUCUUCCACAAUGGACGAAAGUCUGAUGGAGCAACGCCGCGUGAGUGAAGAAGGUUUUCGGAUCGUAAAACUCUGUUGUUGGAGAAGAAUGUAUCUGAUAGCAACUGAUCAGGUAGUGACGGUAUCC
This 494-nucleotide ribosomal RNA is filed under the name uncultured bacterium. Its description in RNAcentral is "bacterial SSU rRNA". It matches the Rfam family "Bacterial small subunit ribosomal RNA", at positions 28 to 480 of the family's 1533-position model. The record is from RNAcentral.